UGCAUUGGCCGGGAAUCGAACCCGGGCCGCCCGCGUGGCAGGCCUGCAUUCUACCACUAAGCCACCGAUGC
This 71-nucleotide transfer RNA is filed under the name Cordylochernes scorpioides. RNAcentral's name for it is "tRNA-Gly". The record is from RNAcentral. Lineage: Eukaryota; Metazoa; Arthropoda; Arachnida; Pseudoscorpiones; Chernetidae.